This 892-nucleotide ribosomal RNA is filed under the name Neocamarosporium maritimae. RNAcentral's name for it is "partial large subunit ribosomal RNA". It matches the Rfam family "Eukaryotic large subunit ribosomal RNA", at positions 56 to 971 of the family's 3401-position model. The record is from RNAcentral. Lineage: Eukaryota; Fungi; Ascomycota; Dothideomycetes; Neocamarosporiaceae.
CAGACCAACAGGGAUUGCCUUAGUAACGGCGAGUGAAGCGGCAACAGCUCAAAUUUGAAAUCUGGCUCUUUCAGAGUCCGAGUUGUAAUUUGCAGAGGGCGCUUUGGCGUUGGCAGCGGUCCAAGUUCCUUGGAACAGGACGUCACAGAGGGUGAGAAUCCCGUACGUGGUCGCUAGUCAUCGCCGUGUAAAGCCCCUUCGACGAGUCGAGUUGUUUGGGAAUGCAGCUCUAAAUGGGAGGUAAAUUUCUUCUAAAGCUAAAUACUGGCCAGAGACCGAUAGCGCACAAGUAGAGUGAUCGAAAGAUGAAAAGCACUUUGGAAAGAGAGUCAAACAGCACGUGAAAUUGUUGAAAGGGAAGCGCUUGCAGCCAGACUUGCCUGUAGUUGCUCAUCCGGGCUUUUGCCCGGUGCACUCUUCUGCGGGCAGGCCAGCAUCAGUUUGGGCGGUUGGAUAAAGGUCUCUGUCAUGUACCUCUCUUCGGGGAGAACUUAUAGGGGAGACGACAUACAACCAGCCUGGACUGAGGUCCGCGCAUUUGCUAGGAUGCUGGCGUAAUGGCUGUAAGCGGCCCGUCUUGAAACACGGACCAAGGAGUCUAACAUCUAUGCGAGUGUUUGGGUGUCAAGCCCGAGCGCGUAAUGAAAGUGAACGGAGGUGGGACCCCGUAAGGGUGCACCAUCGACCGAUCCUGAUGUCUUCGGAUGGAUUUGAGUAAGAGCAUGGCUGUUGGGACCCGAAAGAUGGUGAACUAUGCUUGAAUAGGGUGAAGCCAGAGGAAACUCUGGUGGAGGCUCGCAGCGGUUCUGACGUGCAAAUCGAUCGUCAAAUUUGGGCAUAGGGGCGAAAGACUAAUCGAACUAUCUAGUAGCUGGUUCCUGCCGAGCUUUCU